UACAGAGGGUGCGAGCGUUGUCCGGAAUCACUGGGCGUAAAGGGCGCGUAGGCGGUCUCUUAAGCGUGUGGGGAAAGCCCGGGGCUCAACUCCGGGUCGGCCGUGCGAACUGGGGGACUGGAGCUUGUCAGAGGCAGGCGGAAUUCCGGGUGUAGCGGUGGAAUGCGUAGAGAUCCGGAAGAACACCGGUGGCGAAGGCGGCCUGCUGGGACAGUGCUGACGCUGAGGCGCGACAGCGUGGGGAGCAAACAGG
RNAcentral lists this ribosomal RNA (253 nucleotides) under uncultured bacterium. Its description in RNAcentral is "partial 16S ribosomal RNA". It matches the Rfam family "Bacterial small subunit ribosomal RNA", at positions 524 to 776 of the family's 1533-position model. The record is from RNAcentral.